CCUACGGGUGGCAGCAGUGGGGAAUAUUGGGCAAUGGGCGCAAGCCUGACCCAGCAACGCCGCGUGAAGGAAGAAGGCCUUCGGGUUGUAAACUUCUUUUGUCAGGGACGAAGAAAGUGACGGUACCUGACGAAUAAGCCACGGCUAACUACGUGCCAGCAGCCGCGGUAAUACGGAGGUGGCAAGCGUUAUACGGAUUUACUGGGUGUAAAGGGCGUGUAGGCGGGAGAGCAAGUCAGACGGGAAAUUGCAGGGCUCAACCCUGGAACUGCGUUUGAAACUGUUCUUCUUGAGUGAUGGAGAGGCAGGCGGAAUUCCGUGUGUAGCGGUGAAAUGCGUAGAUAUACGGAGGAACACCAGUGGCGAAGGCGGCCUGCUGGACAUUAACUGACGCUGAGGCGCGAAAGCGUGGGGAGCAAACAGGAUUAGAUACCCGUGUAGUC
Molecule: ribosomal RNA, 443 nt
Filed under: uncultured bacterium
Lineage: Bacteria
Description: partial 16S ribosomal RNA
Rfam family: Bacterial small subunit ribosomal RNA
Source: RNAcentral